UUGGAAUUGCAGUUUGUUAGCUGCACAAAAUAGAACCCUAAAAGUUAUAGUUGAUACGAGCUGCUAUAUGACUUUGUCUUGUUGUGUUGAGAAGAAGAGACAGAAAAUGAAGAGAUCAUAAAUCAAGAACAAACAAAUCUGCAUAUAUUUACAUCUUUACAUACAUAUUACAGGUAAAGAUGUAUACUUGUGUAUGUCAAUUCCCAUGACAGGGAUUUAUUCACGCAAAGCUGUGAAGAAGGCAUUUAGACAGAGCCCUUGAUGGCCUUGCUAUAACCAACUUGAUCAUAAAACCUCGACCACAGCAUAACUCCUCCAUACUUAGCAGAACCCUUGAUAGCAACAAGAACUUUUGAAGUGAGAUCAGUUGCAGGGAUGAACCCACCUAUAGCUGCCUCAGGAGCAGCGGGUAAUCCCAAGAAAAUCUUGUUAGCAGGAAUACUUGAAGUCCAUUGCUUCCAUGCCUCUUCAAGAUUGGUAAUGCUUUCAGAGGAGCAUUGGCAGGGAGGAUUGUUAUAGAAUUGAACCCAAACAUAGUCAAAAAGACCUGUCCUAAGGGCAUUUCCUACCCAAACAUCAGGAAAUGGGCACUGGGGAGCUGCAGUUAAGCAUACUUUUUUACCUUUCCUGCUAUAUGCUGAAAGGAACCUUGCCAGAUCAUCCCAGUGUUGGUUUGUUCCUCCUGCAAUGACGAAAUCAAUCCCAUCUAGAACAGCUGGUCCAAGUGGGCGAGAAGAAGAUUCACCACGUAAAAAGUUAUUCCAAAGAUAAGUAGCAACGUGCCUGGCAUCCUCCACAGAUGUAAGAUGGUAAUUCACAAAUCCUCCACCGAUAGAAAGCAUCACCUUGAUGCCUUUGGCUUGACAUGAUUUAAUGUCAGAGCUUAAGCCUGUGCAACCAUUGCUGUAUGGAUCACAAUGGCCAGCGAGGUUGAUCAUAGGAGUCGUACCAUUGCCAAAAGUAGGCAGGAAAGCUAUAUUUACAAAUUCAUAAUUUCCUGUGGCACAAGUCUCGGCUAAGGUCCCCUCAAUUACAUUCUGGCCCCAGUAGAUUCCUAUUCCACCAGCAUCAGAACCCAAAAUUAGUGUUAGAAUUACUGAUAAGAGGAAUAACACUGAGAUUGAUGAACUCGAUGCCAUGCUAAAACAGAUUUGGAAAUGUUUUGAGUCACUAGCUAGUAUAUAUGUAAUGCCCUUCUCCCUACUAAAAACUUAUCUCUUGCUUCCCAGGAUCGUGGAGUCUAGCCAAUUAGAGCAUUUAAAAUCAAAAAAUUGAUACUCAGCAAUCACCUUAUAUUACCUGCAAAACUGGUGUGUUGGAGAAAGGGCGAGUGAAACUCGGUGAGAGGAUAGACCAUCAACAAGGAGUAAUAGCUCAGAAUUAGGUACUAGCUAUCGCCACCACUCAAGGUGGUGUGUGGGACCCACGCGUGGCUGCCGAAACCCUGACCGGCAACGCACCUCCACCACAGAUGCGCCUGUAUCCUGAGUCUGUUGGCACUCACCACGUGCACAAAUGAGCACUAGUUUACCCAGAUCGAAGCUUUUCCUUAUUCAUUUCUCUCUCCUCGGACUUGAAAACGGCCUAACUUGGUAUCUAUUGAAAGCUUAGAUAAUGAGGAUGAAGACGAAAAUGAAAUCCUUCAUUGUCACGCUUGUUCGUUUAUUUCGACGGAAAAGGUGAAUUUCUAUUCGGUCCCAUAGAUUUCUCUCUAAAAGCUUAAUUUCUCUCUAAACGACAAACCCAACAGUCAAGGCUCCAAGUAGAAGGAGUUGGUGACUGGGAUUUCAAGUUAUGGCUGCUAGAAAUUUGAGGGAGAGGCAAUGGGUAAUAUUCACUCUGCCCUCCACUUCUUUCCCCUUUUCUUCUUCCCUUCUCUGUUGACUUUUGAAUAAAAUUCCAUUUUGAUC
RNAcentral lists this unclassified non-coding RNA (1910 nucleotides) under Hevea brasiliensis (rubber tree). Lineage: Eukaryota; Viridiplantae; Streptophyta; Magnoliopsida; Malpighiales; Euphorbiaceae. The record is from RNAcentral.